Molecule: ribosomal RNA, 328 nt
Filed under: uncultured eukaryote
Lineage: Eukaryota
Description: partial 18S ribosomal RNA
Rfam family: Eukaryotic small subunit ribosomal RNA
Source: RNAcentral
CCCUUAGAUGUUCUGGGCCGCACGCGCGCUACACUGAUGCAUUCAACGAGUUUCUUCCUGGUCCGAGAGGAAUGGGUAACCUUUUGAAAGUGCAUCGUGAUAGGGAUAGACUAUUGCAAUUAUUGGUCUUCAACGAGGAAUUCCUAGUAGACGUAGUUCAUCAGACUGCAUCGAUUACGUCCCUGCCCUUUGUACACACCGCCCGUCGCUCCUACCGAUUGAAUGGUCCGGUGAAGCGUUUGGACUAUGGUUUUCUGAUGGUCCGCCGUUGGAUUACCGUGGGAAGUUCGUUAAACCUUAUCAUUUAGGGGAAGGAGAAGUCGUAACA